CUGGGCUCGAACGGCUUUGGAUCGACGGUGGAAACACUGUUUUCCCGCAAGGGACCGGAGUCGAGGUGCUGCAUGGCUGUCGUCAGCUCGUGUCGUGAGAUGUUGGGUUAAGUCCCGCAACGAGCGCAACCCUUGUCCUGUGUUGCCACUCCGCAAGGAAGCACUCUCAGGAGACCGCCAGCGAUAAGUUGGAGGAAGGUGGGGAUGAUGUCAAGUCAUCAUGGCCUUUAUGUCCAGGGCUACACACGUGCUACAAUGGUCGGUACAAAGCGCUGCAAACCCGCGAGGGGGAGCCAAUCGCAAAAAACCGACCUCAGUUCGGAUUGCAGGCUGCAACUCGCCUGCAUGAAGCUGGAAUCGCUAGUAAUGCCGUAUCAGAAUGAUGGCGUGAAUACGUUCCC
Molecule: ribosomal RNA, 401 nt
Filed under: uncultured soil bacterium
Lineage: Bacteria
Description: bacterial SSU rRNA
Rfam family: Bacterial small subunit ribosomal RNA
Source: RNAcentral